Molecule: ribosomal RNA, 253 nt
Filed under: uncultured bacterium
Lineage: Bacteria
Description: partial 16S ribosomal RNA
Rfam family: Bacterial small subunit ribosomal RNA
Source: RNAcentral
UACGUAGGGUGCAGGCGUUAAUCGGAAUUACUGGGCGUAAAGUGUGCGCAGGCGGCCGAGCAAGUCGAGUGUGAAAGCCCCGAGCUUAACUUGGGAACUGCGCUCGAAACUACUUGGCUAGAGUGUGGCAGAGGGAGGUGGAAUUCCACGUGUAGCGGUGAAAUGCGUAGAGAUGUGGAGGAACACCGAUGGCGAAGGCAGCCUCCUGGGCCAACACUGACGCUCAUGCACGAAAGCGUGGGGAGCAAACAGG